CAGGCUUCAGUGUAAGACCCUUGACUAUGUUCGGUAGUUUGUUCGUUAUCAAACUACCGAACUAGACCCUGAUUCUCUGGAACUGUUUUUGGCAUGGUCAAAUAAAUGACUUCCAGGAAAUUCCUGAACCCCUGAACUGAUCUGGGUGAUUUUUGGACACGUUGGUGACUCAGAUCAGGGCUUUCAGGGGAUGUAACUUUUGUG
This is a non-coding RNA of Pelobates cultripes (western spadefoot toad), 204 nucleotides long. The record is from the annotation of a GenBank genome assembly. Lineage: Eukaryota; Metazoa; Chordata; Amphibia; Anura; Pelobatidae.